UACGAAGGGGGCUAGCGUUGCUCGGAAUUACUGGGCGUAAAGCGCGCGCAGGCGGCCUUUUAAGUCUGACGGUGAAAUGCCGGGGCUCAACCCCGUGCCCGCCGGAGAUACUGGGAGGCUGGAGACGAGUAGAGGCAAGCGGAAUUCCGGGUGUAGCGGUGGAAUGCGUAGAGAUCCGGAAGAACACCGGAGGCGAAGGCGGCUUGCUGGGCUCGGUCUGACGCUGAGGCGCGAAAGCGUGGGGAGCGAACAGG
Molecule: ribosomal RNA, 254 nt
Filed under: uncultured bacterium
Lineage: Bacteria
Description: partial 16S ribosomal RNA
Rfam family: Bacterial small subunit ribosomal RNA
Source: RNAcentral